CCUACGGGAGGCAGCAGUGGGGAAUAUUGCACAAUGGGGGAAACCCUGAUGCAGCGACGCCGCGUGAGCGAAGGAGUAUUUCGGUACGUAAAGCUCUAUCAGCAGGGAAGAAAAUGACGGUACCUGACCAAGAAGCCCCGGCUAACUACGUGCCAGCAGCCGCGGUAAUACGCAGGGGGCAAGCGUUAUCCGGAUUUACUGGGUGUAAAGGGAGCGUAGACGGCAGCGCAAGUCUGGAGUGAAAUGCCGGAGCCCAACCCCGGAACUGCUUUGGAAACUGUGCAGCUGGAGUGCAGGAGAGGUAA
This 305-nucleotide ribosomal RNA is filed under the name uncultured bacterium. RNAcentral's name for it is "bacterial SSU rRNA". It matches the Rfam family "Bacterial small subunit ribosomal RNA", at positions 338 to 660 of the family's 1533-position model. The record is from RNAcentral.